RNAcentral lists this ribosomal RNA (462 nucleotides) under uncultured bacterium. Its description in RNAcentral is "SSU rRNA". It matches the Rfam family "Bacterial small subunit ribosomal RNA", at positions 26 to 518 of the family's 1533-position model. The record is from RNAcentral.
AGAACGAACGCUGGCGGCAUGCCUAACACAUGCAAGUCGAACGCUUUUGGGGCUUCGGUCCCAAAGGAGUGGCGCACGGGUGAGUAGCGCGUGGGAACCUGCCCUGUUGUGGGGGAUAACCGAGGGAAACUUCGGCUAAUACCGCAUACGCCCGGGGGAAACUCCGGGGAAAGAUUUAUCGCAGCAGGAGGGGCCCGCGUCGGAUUAGGUAGUUGGUGGGGUAACGGCCCACCAAGCCUGUGAUCCGUAGCUGGUCUGAGAGGAUGAUCAGCCACACUGGGACUGAGACACGGCCCAGACUCCUACGGGAGGCAGCAGUGGGAAUAUUGGACAAUGGGCGCAAGCCUGAUCCAGCAAUGCCGCGUGAGUGAUGAAGGCCUUCGGGUUGUAAAGCUCUUUCGCACGCGACGAUGAUGACGGUAGCGUGAGAAGAAGCCCGGCUAACUUCGUGCCAGCAGCCGC